CACAAGGCCGGAUUGAUCAAGA
This 22-nucleotide microRNA is filed under the name Aedes aegypti (yellow fever mosquito). Its description in RNAcentral is "aae-miR-11896". Lineage: Eukaryota; Metazoa; Arthropoda; Insecta; Diptera; Culicidae. The record is from miRBase by way of RNAcentral.